RNAcentral lists this non-coding RNA (124 nucleotides) under Cavia aperea (Brazilian guinea pig). Lineage: Eukaryota; Metazoa; Chordata; Mammalia; Rodentia; Caviidae. The record is from RNAcentral.
GAGUUGUAUGAACGGAGAGAAGUUAUCACUUCCCUUGACAAAGACGGAGGAGCCCUCGGGGGUAACAACACACAUCCAGGUAAGGCACUGGCACCUACUUUGUGGCAUCUAACCAAGGUUUUUG